AGAACUUCAAGUUUUAAGCCAAACGAUCAAUGUCACGCACAUUUAUAUGUCAUGGUUCAAGAUAAUGUAUCCAUUUCUUGCACAGAGGUGCAUGUUGUUAUGCCAAACAAUAUUGUCAAAGAUGUUUACAUAUGUUUGGCUUAUUUUUUUAUUUUUUUUACUUUUCAAAUGCAAAAGAAUAAUAUUUAGUCCAUCAGUGGCGGGUCUUUUUGCCCUGCCCGCCACUUGACGUUCUGGACACACCUAUAAAAAUCAGUUCAUCUCCCCAAUCCUCCCCAGCCGCCG
This 285-nucleotide long non-coding RNA is filed under the name Brachypodium distachyon (stiff brome). RNAcentral's name for it is "long non-coding RNA (BDIS_LNC005247)". Lineage: Eukaryota; Viridiplantae; Streptophyta; Magnoliopsida; Poales; Poaceae. The record is from RNAcentral.